This 80-nucleotide microRNA precursor is filed under the name Oryctolagus cuniculus (rabbit). The record is from RNAcentral. Lineage: Eukaryota; Metazoa; Chordata; Mammalia; Lagomorpha; Leporidae.
GGUUCCUGAGAAGAAGUUGCCCAUGUUAUUUUCGCUGUAUGUGUGACGAAACAAACAUGGUGCACUUCUUUUCCGGCAUC